UCCCUAAUAGUUCAGUUGGUAAAGAAUCUGCCUACAAUGCAGGAGAUCCUGGUUUGAUUCCUGGGUUGGGAA
Molecule: transfer RNA, 72 nt
Organism: Ovis aries (sheep)
Lineage: Eukaryota; Metazoa; Chordata; Mammalia; Artiodactyla; Bovidae
Rfam family: tRNA
About the family: Transfer RNA (tRNA) molecules are approximately 80 nucleotides in length. Their secondary structure includes four short double-helical elements and three loops (D, anti-codon, and T loops). Further hydrogen bonds mediate the characteristic L-shaped molecular structure. tRNAs have two regions of fundamental functional importance: the anti-codon, which is responsible for specific mRNA codon recognition, and the 3' end, to which the tRNAs corresponding amino acid is attached (by aminoacyl-tRNA synthetases). tRNAs cope with the degeneracy of the genetic code in two manners: having more than one tRNA (with a specific anti-codon) for a particular amino acid; and 'wobble' base-pairing, i.e. permitting non-standard base-pairing at the 3rd anti-codon position.
Source: Rfam